CGGCGAGUGAAGAGGGAAAAGCUCAAAGUUGGAACCUGGCUGCCCUAGGCAGUCCGGAUUGUAAACUAAAGAGCGUGAUUCCAGGCAAGCCGGUUGACCAAGUCCUUUGGAAUGAGGCGCCACUGAGGGUGAGAGCCCCGUAAGUCGACUGAGCAUUUGUCUUUUGUGUUUCGCGUUCAAAGAGUCAGGUUGUUYGGGAAUGCAGCCUAAAGCUGGUGGUAAAUCCCACCUAAAGCUAAAUACAGGCGAGAGACCGAUAGCGAACAAGUACCGUGAGGGAAAGAUGAAAAGAACUUUGAAAAGAGAGUUAAACAGUAUGUGAAAUUGCCAAGAGGGAAGCAUUUGGAGUUAGAUUGACUAGGAGUUAAUCAGCUUGGUCUUUGGACUGGGUGUACUUGACUUCUUACAGUCUGCCAAUAGCAGUUAGUCCUAGUGGAAAAAACCAGAGGGAAGGUAGUCCUUCGGGAUGUUUAUAGACCUUUGGAAAAUACACUGGGAUUGACUGAGGAAUGCAGUAGAUGCCACUAAGGCUUCGUCUAGUGGGUGCUAGGCAAAGGUACUUGGUAUUUUCAGCUUGCUGAUGUGCUAGGUUACUCGAGUCUAGUCGCCUACUAGAACUGUAAUCUACUUUGGUUAUUGGCUUAAUGACUCU
This 652-nucleotide ribosomal RNA is filed under the name Lichtheimia ramosa. Its description in RNAcentral is "partial large subunit ribosomal RNA". Lineage: Eukaryota; Fungi; Mucoromycota; Mucoromycetes; Mucorales; Lichtheimiaceae. The record is from RNAcentral.